UGGGUCAACUCAUGUUUACAAAAUACAAGGUAUGGUAUGGAUGCAGUAAUGUGGUUGGGACUUGUCCUUGCUUAACAUUGGGCAUUGCAGAAUUCAGACAGUGCUUUGGAAAGAAGCUUAGUUCUCCCUCUGCUGGACAUUUUGAGAACACGGAAGAGUGGAAAACCAACUGUAGAUUUCAGUCUAAACCUUUAGACUUUUCCUUUCAGAUUUUCUACUAUUGUCAUCUGUAGUUUUUAUUGCUGGAAAUCUGACGAGUGAUCAUAAUCGCUUCUCUUUCUGCAGCCUCAAAUGGACGAGAAGAUCCAGCUUGGCCCCCAGGCUCAAGUCAUAUUGGUGAAGGCUAGCAGUAAAGGAGCCAAGGCCAGUGACUCAGGGCUGCAGUCCAGCCCUUCACCUCAACCCUCCAACGCUCCUACACAAAACACAGACUCUGACGCAAGGAAAACUCUGUGAAGCACAGGCAGAAAGUGAAGAAAGCGCGGAAGGCGUGGCCCUUAAGUCCGUCACGGCCUUCUUCACCUGGCUGCGGGAGGCGGAGCAGGAGUCUGAAGAUAAUUUAUGAGGGGAGACCCCAGGGGGACAUGGCGUAGUAGAACUACGUGUGCGUGAGCAGGACGACAUGUUUACGGGUGGAAUUUUUUUCUGCGGUUGGGUUCUGAAACAGGCCGCCAUUUUGAGUUUGGAUUCCAACAGCGGAAGUGCUAAAUACCUGUAUUAGACAUAGAUAAUGUUUUUGUUUAA
Long non-coding RNA from Platichthys flesus (European flounder), 744 nucleotides. RefSeq lists it as uncharacterized. NCBI's taxonomy places the organism in Eukaryota, Metazoa, Chordata, Actinopteri, Pleuronectiformes, Pleuronectidae. The record is from RefSeq and is a predicted model, not a curated record. The transcript is spliced from 3 exons.